Molecule: ribosomal RNA, 465 nt
Filed under: uncultured bacterium
Lineage: Bacteria
Description: partial 16S ribosomal RNA
Rfam family: Bacterial small subunit ribosomal RNA
Source: RNAcentral
CCUACGGGGGACAGCAGUAGGGAAUCUUCCACAAUGGGCGCAAGCCUGAUGGAGCAACACCGCGUGAGUGAAGAAGGGUUUCGGCUCGUAAAGCUCUGUUGUUGGAGAAGAACGUGCGUGAGAGUAACUGUUCACGCAGUGACGGUAUCCAACCAGAAAGUCACGGCUAACUACGUGCCAGCAGCCGCGGUAAUACGUAGGUGGCAAGCGUUAUCCGGAUUUAUUGGGCGUAAAGCGAGCGCAGGCGGUUGCUUAGGUCUGAUGUGAAAGCCUUCGGCUUAACCGAAGAAGUGCAUCGGAAACCGGGCAACUUGAGUGCAGAAGAGGACAGUGGAACUCCAUGUGUAGCGGUGGAACGCGUAGAUAUAUGGAAGAACACCAGUGGCGAAGGCGGCUGUCUGGUCUGCAACUGACGCUGAGGCUCGAAAGCAUGGGUAGCGAACAGGAUUAGAUACCCUAGUAGUC